GAUGAACGCUGGCGGCGUGCCUAAUACAUGCAAGUCGAGCGAACAGACGAGGAGCUUGCUUCUCUGACGUUAGCGGCGGACGGGUGAGUAACACGUGGAUAACCUACCUAUAAGACUGGGAUAACUUCGGGAAACCGGAGCUAAUACCGGAUAAUAUUUUGAACCGCAUGGUUCAAAAGUGAAAGACGGUUUUGCUGUCACUUAUAGAUGGAUCCGCGCUGCAUUAGCUAGUUGGUAAGGUAACGGCUUACCAAGGCAACGAUGCGUAGCCGACCUGAGAGGGUGAUCGGCCACACUGGAACUGAGACACGGUCCAGACUCCUACGGGAGGCAGCAGUAGGGAAUCUUCCGCAAUGGGCGAAAGCCUGACGGAGCAACGCCGCGUGAGUGAUGAAGGUCUUCGGAUCGUAAAACUCUGUUAUUAGGGAAGAACAUAUGUGUAAGUAACUGUGCACGUCUUGACGGUACCUAAUCAGAAAGCCACGGCUAACUACGUG
RNAcentral lists this ribosomal RNA (497 nucleotides) under uncultured bacterium. RNAcentral describes it as "partial 16S ribosomal RNA". It matches the Rfam family "Bacterial small subunit ribosomal RNA", at positions 28 to 507 of the family's 1533-position model. The record is from RNAcentral.